GAAGGCAUAGCUCAGUGGUAGAGUGCAUGCUUAGCAUGCAUGAAUUCCUGGGUUCAAUCCCCAAUACCUCUA
This 72-nucleotide transfer RNA is filed under the name Camelus bactrianus (Bactrian camel). It matches the Rfam family "tRNA". Rfam says of the family: Transfer RNA (tRNA) molecules are approximately 80 nucleotides in length. RNAcentral also lists the same sequence under 1 other name. The record is from Rfam by way of RNAcentral. Lineage: Eukaryota; Metazoa; Chordata; Mammalia; Artiodactyla; Camelidae.